UAAAUCUCAAAGUGCACAAAAUACUGCUCAUUUGGGUAAUCCAAUUUGCAAGGUGACAAUGAUGAAAACAAAUCUAUCCCAUGAACAUCUGGCUAAAGGAUCCAACCAUGCUCCUCUAGUGAAAGCUAAUAUGAUCCAUCUCUAUCUCGACAAAUCCAUGUAGGGAGGUCCUAAUAUAAUCAAUUGCCGAAAGCUCCAAACUAAUCUCAAUCUAAAACCAUGCUGGC
This 227-nucleotide long non-coding RNA is filed under the name Vitis vinifera (wine grape). RNAcentral describes it as "long non-coding RNA (VVIN_LNC005019)". Lineage: Eukaryota; Viridiplantae; Streptophyta; Magnoliopsida; Vitales; Vitaceae. The record is from RNAcentral.